GUUCGUCUGGGCGAACAGAAACAGCCAUUAGGCCCAGAGCGGUGUAGGGGCCGGUGUCCCUGCACAUUGGA
RNAcentral lists this ribozyme (71 nucleotides) under unclassified sequences. RNAcentral's name for it is "pistol ribozyme". It matches the Rfam family "Pistol ribozyme". The record is from RNAcentral.